CAGCACCGCGGUAAUACGGAGGGUGCAAGCGUUAAUCGGAAUUACUGGGCGUAAAGCGCACGCAGGCGGUCUGACAAGUCAGAUGUGAAAUCCCCGGGCUUAACCUGGGAACUGCAUUUGAAACUGUCAGGCUGGAGUCUUGUAGAGGGGGGUAGAAUUCCAGGUGUAGCGGUGAAAUGCGUAGAGAUCUGGAGGAAUACCGGUGGCGAAGGCGGCCCCCUGGACAAAGACUGACGCUCAGGUGCGAAAGCGUGGGGAGCAAACAGGAUUAGAUACCCCAGUAGUCCCUGUCUCUUAUACA
RNAcentral lists this ribosomal RNA (301 nucleotides) under uncultured bacterium. Its description in RNAcentral is "partial 16S ribosomal RNA". It matches the Rfam family "Bacterial small subunit ribosomal RNA", at positions 509 to 808 of the family's 1533-position model. The record is from RNAcentral.